ACCUGGUUGGCUCAGUUGGUGGAGCAUAAGACUCUUGAUCUUAGGGUUGUGAGUUUGAACCCUACAUUGGGUA
This 73-nucleotide transfer RNA is filed under the name Canis lupus familiaris (dog). It matches the Rfam family "tRNA". Rfam says of the family: Transfer RNA (tRNA) molecules are approximately 80 nucleotides in length. Their secondary structure includes four short double-helical elements and three loops (D, anti-codon, and T loops). Lineage: Eukaryota; Metazoa; Chordata; Mammalia; Carnivora; Canidae. RNAcentral also lists the same sequence under 2 other names. The record is from Rfam by way of RNAcentral.